This 427-nucleotide ribosomal RNA is filed under the name uncultured bacterium. RNAcentral describes it as "bacterial SSU rRNA". It matches the Rfam family "Bacterial small subunit ribosomal RNA", at positions 355 to 774 of the family's 1533-position model. The record is from RNAcentral.
UGGGGAAUUUUGGACAAUGGGCGCAAGCCUGAUCCAGCAAUGCCGCGCGCAGGAUGAAGGCCUUCGGGUUGUAAACUGCUUUUGUACGGAGCGAAAAGGUCUGCCCUAAUACGGUGGGCUCGUGACGGUACCGUAAGAAUAAGCACCGGCUAACUACGUGCCAGCAGCCGCGGUAAUACGUAGGGUGCGAGCGUUAAUCGGAAUUACUGGGCGUAAAGCGUGCGCAGGCGGUUAUAUAAGACAGAUGUGAAAUCCCCGGGCUCAACCUGGGACCUGCAUUUGUGAAUGUAUAGCUAGAGUACGGUAGAGGGGGAUGGAAUUCCGCGUGUAGCAGUGAAAUGCGUAGAUAUGCGGAGGAACACCGAUGGCGAAGGCAAUCCCCUGGACCUGUACUGACGCUCAUGCACGAAAGCGUGGGGAGCAAACA